GGGGGGGGGGGGGGGGGGGGGGGGGGGGGGGGGGGGGGGGGGGGGGGGGGUCCCCCCCAGGCCGCCGCCCGCGCCUCCCC
Molecule: microRNA precursor, 80 nt
Filed under: Mustela putorius furo (domestic ferret)
Lineage: Eukaryota; Metazoa; Chordata; Mammalia; Carnivora; Mustelidae
Description: miRNA (ENSMPUG00000022534.1)
Source: RNAcentral